GACGAACGCUGGCGGCGUGCGUAAUACAUGCAAGUAGAACGCUGAAGAGAGGAGCUUGCUCUUCUUGGAUGAGUUGCGAACGGGUGAGUAACGCGUAGGUAACCUGCCUUGUAGCGGGGGAUAACUAUUGGAAACGAUAGCUAAUACCGCAUAACAAUGGGUGACACAUGUCAUUUAUUUGAAAGGGGCAAUUGCUCCACUACAAGAUGGACCUGCGUUGUAUUAGCUAGUAGGUGAGGUAACGGCUCACCUAGGCGACGAUACAUAGCCGACCUGAGAGGGUGAUCGGCCACACUGGGACUGAGACACGGCCCAGACUCCUACGGGAGGCAGCAGUAGGGAAUCUUCGGCAAUGGGGGCAACCCUGACCGAGCAACGCCGCGUGAGUGAAGAAGGUUUUCGGAUCGUAAAGCUCUGUUGUAAGUCAAGAACGAGUGUGAGAGUGGAAAGUUCACACUGUGACGGUAGCUUACCAGAAAGGGACGGCUAACUACGUGCCAGCAGCCGCGGUAAUACGUAGGUCCCGAGCGUUGUCCGGAUUUAUUGGGCGUAAAGCGAGCGCAGGCGGUUUGAUAAGUCUGAAGUUAAAGGCUGUGGCUCAACCAUAGUUCGCUUUGGAAACUGUCAAACUUGAGUGCAGAAGGGGAGAGUGGAAUUCCAUGUGUAGCGGUGAAAUGCGUAGAUAUAUGGAGGAACACCGGUGGCGAAAGCGGCUCUCUGGUCUGUAACUGACGCUGAGGCUCGAAAGCGUGGGGGGCGAACAGG
RNAcentral lists this ribosomal RNA (765 nucleotides) under uncultured Streptococcus sp. Its description in RNAcentral is "bacterial SSU rRNA". It matches the Rfam family "Bacterial small subunit ribosomal RNA", at positions 28 to 776 of the family's 1533-position model. Lineage: Bacteria; Bacillati; Bacillota; Bacilli; Lactobacillales; Streptococcaceae. The record is from RNAcentral.